GACGAACGCUGGCGGCGUGCCUAACACAUGCAAGUGGAGCGACGAACCGGGCUUCGGCCCGGAGCAAAGCCGCGAACGGGUGAGUAACACGUGGGUAACCUGCCCUAAUGAUUGGGACAACUCGAGGAAACUCGAGCCAAUACCAAAUAUGCUGGUAGAUCAUCAGAUUUAUCAGGAAAGGAAGCUUCGGCCUCCGCAUUGGGAUGGGCCCGCGGCCCAUUAGCUUGUUGGGGGGGUAACGGCCCACCAAGGUAACGAUGGGUAGCUGGUCUGAGAGGACGAUCAGCCACACUGGGACUGAGACACGGCCCAGACUCCUACGGGAGGCAGCAGUGGGGAAUCUUGCGCAAUGCGCGAAAGCGUGACGCAGCAACGCCGCGUGGGGGAAGACGGCCUUCGGGUUGUAAACCCCUUUCAGUUGGGACGAAGCUCCGUCAGUUAAUAGCUGGCUGGAGUGACGGUACCUUCAGAAGAAGCCCCGGCUAACUACGUGCCAGCAGCCGCCGUAA
This 509-nucleotide ribosomal RNA is filed under the name uncultured bacterium. RNAcentral describes it as "partial 16S ribosomal RNA". It matches the Rfam family "Bacterial small subunit ribosomal RNA", at positions 28 to 523 of the family's 1533-position model. The record is from RNAcentral.